UUAGAGUGGGGGAUAACCAGUCGAAAGACUGGCUAAUACCGCAUAAGACCACAGGAUCUGAGGAUCCCGAGGUAAAAGGUUUUUCGCUCUAAGAUGAGCCCGCGUAAGAUUAGCUAGUUGGUGAGGUAAUGGCUCACCAAGGCGACGAUCUUUAACUGGUCUGAGAGGAUGAUCAGUCACACUGGAACUGAGACACGGUCCAGACUCCUACGGGAGGCAGCAGUAGGGAAUAUUGCACAAUGGAGGAAACUCUGAUGCAGCGACGCCGCGUGAGUGAUGAAGGACUUCGGUUCGUAAAGCUCUGUUGCAAGGGAAUAAAAAAAUGAAUGUACCUUGUGAGGAAGGGUCGGCUAACUUCGUGCCAGCAGCCGCGGUAAGACGAGGGACCCUAGCGUUGUUCGGAAUCAUUGGGCGUAAAGCGGGUGUAGGUGGCUUUGUAAGUCAGAUGUGAAAUCCCUGGGCUCAACCCAGGACGUGCAUUUGAUACUGCGAAGCUUGAGUGCUGGAGAGGUUACUGGAAUACCUGGUGUAGUGGUGAAAUACGUAGAUAUCAGGUGGAACACCGGUGGCGAAGGCGGGUAACUGGCCAGACACUGACACUCAGACCCGAAAGCGUGGGGAUCAAACAGGAUUAGAUACCCUGGUAGUCCACGCCGUAAACGAUGGAUACUUGUUGUUGGAGGUAUUGACCCCUUCAGUGACGAAGCUAACGCGUUAAGU
This 720-nucleotide ribosomal RNA is filed under the name uncultured delta proteobacterium. RNAcentral's name for it is "bacterial SSU rRNA". It matches the Rfam family "Bacterial small subunit ribosomal RNA", at positions 131 to 865 of the family's 1533-position model. The record is from RNAcentral. Lineage: Bacteria; Deltaproteobacteria.